UAGGGAAUCUUCGGCAAUGGGGGCAACCCUGACCGAGCAACGCCGCGUGAGUGAAGAAGGUUUUCGGAUCGUAAAGCUCUGUUGUAAGAGAAGAACGUGUGUGAGAGUGGAAAGUUCACACAGUGACGGUAACUUACCAGAAAGGGACGGCUAACUACGUGCCAGCAGCCGCGGUAAUACGUAGGUCCCGAGCGUUGUCCGGAUUUAUUGGGCGUAAAGCGAGCGCAGGCGGUUUAAUAAGUCUGAAGUUAAAGGCAGUGGCUUAACCAUUGUUCGCUUUGGAAACUGUUAAACUUGAGUGCAGAAGGGGAGAGUGGAAUUACAUGUGUAGCGGUGAAAUGCGUAGAUAUAUGGAGGAACACCGGUGGCGAAAGCGGCUCUCUGGUCUGUAACUGACGCUGAGGCUCGAAAGCGUGGGGAGCAAACAGG
Molecule: ribosomal RNA, 429 nt
Filed under: bacterium
Lineage: Bacteria
Description: partial 16S ribosomal RNA
Rfam family: Bacterial small subunit ribosomal RNA
Source: RNAcentral